AGUGAACGCUGGCGGUAGACCUAACACAUGCAAGUCGAACGGCAGCACAGUAAGAGCUUGCUCUUACGGGUGGCGAGUGGCGGACGGGUGAGGAAUACAUCGGACUCUACUUUUUCGUGGGGGAUAACGUAGGGAAACUUACGCUAAUACCGCAUACGCCCUACGGGUGAAAGCAGGGGAUCUUCGGACCUUGCGCGAUUGAAUGAGCCGAUGUUGGAGUGGCUAGUUGGCGGGGUAAAGGCCCACCAAGGCGACGAUCCGUAGCUGGUCUGAGAGGAUGAUCGGCCACACUGGAAGGGAGACACGGUCCAGACGCCUGCGGGAGGCAGCAGUGGGGAAUAUUGGACAAUGGUCGCAAGCCUGAUCCAGCCAUACCGCGUGUGAGAAGGAGGCCUUCGGGUUGUAAAGCCCGUUUGUUGGGUAAGAAAAGCAGCAGGUUAAUACGCCGCUGGUCUGACGGUACCCAAAGAAUAAGCACCGGCUAACUUCGUG
RNAcentral lists this ribosomal RNA (492 nucleotides) under uncultured bacterium. RNAcentral describes it as "partial 16S ribosomal RNA". It matches the Rfam family "Bacterial small subunit ribosomal RNA", at positions 29 to 507 of the family's 1533-position model. The record is from RNAcentral.